This 2911-nucleotide ribosomal RNA is filed under the name Pseudomonas aeruginosa. Its description in RNAcentral is "23S ribosomal RNA". It matches the Rfam family "Bacterial large subunit ribosomal RNA". Lineage: Bacteria; Pseudomonadati; Pseudomonadota; Gammaproteobacteria; Pseudomonadales; Pseudomonadaceae. The record is from RNAcentral.
GUUAUAUGGUCAAGUGAAGAAGCGCAUACGGUGGAUGCCUUGGCAGUCAGAGGCGAUGAAAGACGUGGUAGCCUGCGAAAAGCUUCGGGGAGUCGGCAAACAGACUUUGAUCCGGAGAUCYCUGAAUGGGGGAACCCACCUAGGAUAACCUAGGUAUCUUGUACUGAAUCCAUAGGUGCAAGAGGCGAACCAGGGGAACUGAAACAUCUAAGUACCCUGAGGAAAAGAAAUCAACCGAGAUUCCCUUAGUAGUGGCGAGCGAACGGGGAUUAGCCCUUAAGCUUCAUUGAUUUUAGCGGAACGCUCUGGAAAGUGCGGCCAUAGUGGGUGAUAGCCCCGUACGCGAAAGGAUCUUUGAAGUGAAAUCGAGUAGGACGGAGCACGAGAAACUUUGUCUGAACAUGGGGGGCCAUCCUCCAAGGCUAAAUACUACUGACUGACCGAUAGUGAACCAGUACCGUGAGGGAAAGGCGAAAAGAACCCCGGAGAGGGGAGUGAAAUAGAACCUGAAACCGUAUGCGUACAAGCAGUGGGAGCCUACUUGUUAGGUGACUGCGUACCUUUUGUAUAAUGGGUCAGCGACUUAUAUUCAGUGGCAAGCUUAACCGUAUAGGGUAGGCGUAGCGAAAGCGAGUCUUAAUAGGGCGUUUAGUCGCUGGGUAUAGACCCGAAACCGGGCGAUCUAUCCAUGAGCAGGUUGAAGGUUAGGUAACACUGACUGGAGGACCGAACCCACUCCCGUUGAAAAGGUAGGGGAUGACUUGUGGAUCGGAGUGAAAGGCUAAUCAAGCUCGGAGAUAGCUGGUUCUCCUCGAAAGCUAUUUAGGUAGCGCCUCAUGUAUCACUCUGGGGGGUAGAGCACUGUUUCGGCUAGGGGGUCAUCCCGACUUACCAAACCGAUGCAAACUCCGAAUACCCAGAAGUGCCGAGCAUGGGAGACACACGGCGGGUGCUAACGUCCGUCGUGAAAAGGGAAACAACCCAGACCGCCAGCUAAGGUCCCAAAGUUGUGGUUAAGUGGUAAACGAUGUGGGAAGGCUUAGACAGCUAGGAGGUUGGCUUAGAAGCAGCCAUCCUUUAAAGAAAGCGUAAUAGCUCACUAGUCGAGUCGGCCUGCGCGGAAGAUGUAACGGGGCUCAAACCACACACCGAAGCUGCGGGUGUCACGUAAGUGACGCGGUAGAGGAGCGUUCUGUAAGCCUGUGAAGGUGAGUUGAGAAGCUUGCUGGAGGUAUCAGAAGUGCGAAUGCUGACAUGAGUAACGACAAUGGGUGUGAAAAACACCCACGCCGAAAGACCAAGGGUUCCUGCGCAACGUUAAUCGACGCAGGGUUAGUCGGUUCCUAAGGCGAGGCUGAAAAGCGUAGUCGAUGGGAAACAGGUUAAUAUUCCUGUACUUCUGGUUACUGCGAUGGAGGGACGGAGAAGGCUAGGCCAGCUUGGCGUUGGUUGUCCAAGUUUAAGGUGGUAGGCUGAAAUCUUAGGUAAAUCCGGGGUUUCAAGGCCGAGAGCUGAUGACGAGUCGUCUUUUAGAUGACGAAGUGGUUGAUGCCAUGCUUCCAAGAAAAGCUUCUAAGCUUCAGGUAACCAGGAACCGUACCCCAAACCGACACAGGUGGUCGGGUAGAGAAUACCAAGGCGCUUGAGAGAACUCGGGUGAAGGAACUAGGCAAAAUGGCACCGUAACUUCGGGAGAAGGUGCGCCGGCUAGGGUGAAGGAUUUACUCCGUAAGCUCUGGCUGGUCGAAGAUACCAGGCCGCUGCGACUGUUUAUUAAAAACACAGCACUCUGCAAACACGAAAGUGGACGUAUAGGGUGUGACGCCUGCCCGGUGCCGGAAGGUUAAUUGAUGGGGUUAGCGCAAGCGAAGCUCUUGAUCGAAGCCCCGGUAAACGGCGGCCGUAACUAUAACGGUCCUAAGGUAGCGAAAUUCCUUGUCGGGUAAGUUCCGACCUGCACGAAUGGCGUAACGAUGGCGGCGCUGUCUCCACCCGAGACUCAGUGAAAUUGAAAUCGCUGUGAAGAUGCAGUGUAUCCGCGGCUAGACGGAAAGACCCCGUGAACCUUUACUGUAGCUUUGCACUGGACUUUGAGCCUGCUUGUGUAGGAUAGGUGGGAGGCUUUGAAGCGUGGACGCCAGUUCGCGUGGAGCCAUCCUUGAAAUACCACCCUGGCAUGCUUGAGGUUCUAACUCUGGUCCGUAAUCCGGAUCGAGGACAGUGUAUGGUGGGCAGUUUGACUGGGGCGGUCUCCUCCUAAAGAGUAACGGAGGAGUACGAAGGUGCGCUCAGACCGGUCGGAAAUCGGUCGCAGAGUAUAAAGGCAAAAGCGCGCUUGACUGCGAGACAGACACGUCGAGCAGGUACGAAAGUAGGUCUUAGUGAUCCGGUGGUUCUGUAUGGAAGGGCCAUCGCUCAACGGAUAAAAGGUACUCCGGGGAUAACAGGCUGAUACCGCCCAAGAGUUCAUAUCGACGGCGGUGUUUGGCACCUCGAUGUCGGCUCAUCACAUCCUGGGGCUGAAGCCGGUCCCAAGGGUAUGGCUGUUCGCCAUUUAAAGUGGUACGCGAGCUGGGUUUAGAACGUCGUGAGACAGUUCGGUCCCUAUCUGCCGUGGACGUUUGAGAUUUGAGAGGGGCUGCUCCUAGUACGAGAGGACCGGAGUGGACGAACCUCUGGUGUUCCGGUUGUCACGCCAGUGGCAUUGCCGGGUAGCUAUGUUCGGAAAAGAUAACCGCUGAAAGCAUCUAAGCGGGAAACUUGCCUCAAGAUGAGAUCUCACUGGGAACUUGAUUCCCCUGAAGGGCCGUCGAAGACUACGACGUUGAUAGGCUGGGUGUGUAAGCGUUGUGAGGCGUUGAGCUAACCAGUACUAAUUGCCCGUGAGGCUUGACCAUAUAACACCCAAACA